GCAAGCCAUACCUCCACCACAUAUGGAGUAAUGUUUAUCCUGUGGACGAAUUUCGCCACACUUAUCACUGAAGAACGACUGCCGUCUAACGCUGUGAAAACAGAGCAAAUUCUUGGAAUGCUAUCCACAUGGACAUCAUGGAGUAGAUGAGGAUUUAGGCCGUCUACAUGGCCGGUUAGACUUGGUAAAUGCCUUAUGCUAAUACUGGCCUUAACAAGAGUUGAUUGAGAUGAAACUAGAUGGUACAGAUAUUGCUGACAGAUUGACAGGUACUAAACCUGAUGCUUUGUUGGUCUGAAGGAGAGCUGAGAAUUUGAUUAAACUUAAUGGUCACGAUAUAUAUUGCUCCAGACAGGAGAAAUUUGUAUCUCUGAGCAUGAUUGAAGGUUGGACAACAUUUGUUUGACAUUGUGAAGCUGCUGCCUUUGAACUACAUUUUAUGAUUGAGGUACAAUACAAUGUGAGGUUCAUACAGACAAUCAAAUCUCUCUAGCUCUCUAAUCAGGGGAAUGAAUACUCCAAUAUUGUUCCAUGUAACAUCACGGAAUGACUGGUUUGUGGCUGGAUGGUCAUCCAUUUAAUUUAGGAAAGCAGAAUCACUGAGGAGAACCUUUGAGACUUUGAGAAUAACCGAUCGCAGUCACUGCUGCAACUCUGGUUUCCCUGAAACGGGAGCUGUGCUCUUUGGAUAGAUUCACUCCUAAAAAUGUUUUGGAGAAAAUAUUUUAUGUAUUCUUCUGUGGUCAUCACACAAUCUAAUUUAGUGCGUGUUCAUAUAACCUCAUGGUUGUAAACUGUAUGUAUGACAUGCUAGAAAAUUUUGAAAUGAGAAUUCUAAAAUGAUGU
This 846-nucleotide long non-coding RNA is filed under the name Rosa chinensis. Its description in RNAcentral is "sRNA RchiOBHm_Chr5g0080931". The record is from RNAcentral. Lineage: Eukaryota; Viridiplantae; Streptophyta; Magnoliopsida; Rosales; Rosaceae.